Molecule: ribosomal RNA, 253 nt
Filed under: uncultured bacterium
Lineage: Bacteria
Description: partial 16S ribosomal RNA
Rfam family: Bacterial small subunit ribosomal RNA
Source: RNAcentral
UACGUAGGCAGCAAGCGUUGUUCGGAGUUACUGGGCGUAAAGGGUGCGUAGGCGGCUUUUUAAGUUUGGUGUGAAAUCUCCUGGCUCAACCGGGAGGGUGCGCCGAAUACUGAGAAGCUAGAGUAUGGGAGAGGAAAGUGGAAUUCCUGGUGUAGCGGUGAAAUGCGUAGAUAUCAGGAGGAACACCUGUGGUGUAGACGGCUUUCUGGACCAUAACUGACGCUGAUGCACGAAAGCGUGGGUAGCAAACAGG